AUUCCCAGGUUCCCUAACACUCAAGCCUAGCCCCUCAGUUUCUAGCAAGCAUCAAGCUUCACUGUGUGUCUAGCCUCUCAGGAGUCAGACCUGAGAAGUAUAGCUUGGUGGAAAUUCAGUGGCAGGGAAGAAAGAAGGAAGGAAAGAAGACUCUGAGCUGGAUUCAUACACAUCAUCGCAAUUCAUCCACACCACAGUCCUGUAAGAAGGCUGCAAAACAUACAGCAGAAAGGAUGGCUUGAAGGCAAUUGAUGUUUGUAAAAAAAUCCACAACAGGAUCCAAGCUGAAGAGGUGAACACGUCAGCCUGGUGGGACAAUUCUCAGCAUGUGCAAACAUAGGUCACGCCGAAGCAAGAGUUGGGCUCUCAUGGCCUUGG
RNAcentral lists this long non-coding RNA (378 nucleotides) under Homo sapiens (human). RNAcentral describes it as "HSALNT0324604". The record is from RNAcentral. Lineage: Eukaryota; Metazoa; Chordata; Mammalia; Primates; Hominidae.